GCCUGGCGGGUGCUAUACUGCAGUCGAGCGGACAGAUGGGAGCUUGCUCCCUGAUGUUAGCGGCGGACGGGUGAGUAACACGUGGGUAACCUGCCUGUAAGACUGGGAUAACUCCGGGAAACCGGGGCUAAUACCGGAUGGUUGUUUGAACCGCAUGGUUCAAACAUAAAAGGUGGCUUCGGCUACCACUUACAGAUGGACCCGCGGCGCAUUAGCUAGUUGGUGAGGUAAUGGCUCACCAAGGCAACGAUGCGUAGCCGACCUGAGAGGGUGAUCGGCCACACUGGGACUGAGACACGGCCCAGACUCCUACGGGAGGCAGCAGUAGGGAAUCUUCCGCAAUGGACGAAAGUCUGACGGAGCAACGCCGCGUGAGUGAUGAAGGUUUUCGGAUCGUAAAGCUCUGUUGUUAGGGAAGAACAAGUACCGUACGAAUAGGGCGGUACCUUGACGGUACCUAACCAAAAAGCCACGGCUAACUACGUGCCAGCAGCCGCGGUAAUACGUAGGUGGCAAGCGUUGUCCGGAAUUAUUGGGCGUAAAGGGCUCGCAGGCGGUUUCUUAAGUCUGAUGUGAAAGCCCCCGGCUCAACCGGGGAGGGUCAUUGGAAACUGGGGAACUUGAUUGCAAAAAAGGAAAGUGAAAUUCCACGUGUACCGGUGAAAUGCGUAAAAAUGUGAAGGAACACCAUUGGCGAAGGCAACUCUCUGGUCUGUAACUGACGCUGAGGACCAAAAGCGUGGGGAGCGAACAGGAUUAAAUACCCUGGUAGUCCACGCCGUAAACGAUGAGUGCUAAGUGUUAGGGGGUUUCCGCCCCUUAGUGCUGCAGCUAACGCAUUAAGCACUCCGCCUGGGGGAGUACGGUCGCAAGACUGAAACUCAAAGGAAAUUGACGGGGGCCCGCCCAAGCGGGGGGAACAUGGGGGUUAAUUCGAAGCAACCCGAAAAACCUUACCAGGUCUUGAAUCCUCUGGAAACCCUAAAAAAUA
This 991-nucleotide ribosomal RNA is filed under the name Bacillus tequilensis. Its description in RNAcentral is "bacterial SSU rRNA". It matches the Rfam family "Bacterial small subunit ribosomal RNA", at positions 35 to 1008 of the family's 1533-position model. The record is from RNAcentral. Lineage: Bacteria; Bacillati; Bacillota; Bacilli; Caryophanales; Bacillaceae.